This 585-nucleotide ribosomal RNA is filed under the name Triticum aestivum (bread wheat). RNAcentral's name for it is "partial small subunit ribosomal RNA". Lineage: Eukaryota; Viridiplantae; Streptophyta; Magnoliopsida; Poales; Poaceae. The record is from RNAcentral.
AUGGCGUCCGUCCAUAUCGCCCCACUCUCCCGUCCCCAUCUCCGAUCCCCAUCACAACCGGAGCCGUCGAGGCCGCCGCGCUUCCUCUCCCUCCCCUCGACUCCGGCGGCCGGCCGGGGCGCGUCGCCACCUUCCUCGCCCUUCGCCCCGCUGCUCGGGUACCCGCUCCCCAGUCCAGCACAGAGCACAGGGAGGGGGGCAAUGGAAGGACCAUCUGCUUCUGACGGCCAAGUGAUCCCGUCCACCGCAGGAGACCCUCACCUCAGCAGCUCGGCCGCGCCCAUGGACGCCGCCGGCGGCGGCUCGCAGCACGUCGCGACGCUGCGGAAGCUGCUGUUUCGGAGGAUGCUGGUCGGGGUGAACGACGGCCGCUACUUCCUGGGGCUGUUCCACUGCGUCGACAAGCAGGGGAACAUAAUCCUGCAGGACGCGGUGGAGUACCGCAGCGCGCGCCGCUCAUCCCCGUCGGCGCCCAAGGAGGAGCGGUGCCUCGGGCUCAUCCUCAUCCCGGCGUCCUGCCGCUCGUCCUGCCAUGUCGACUGCUUCAUCGAAGAGCAGAUGGCACUGCUGUCCCUGUGCAAGUGA